UACGGGGGGGCAAGGCAGUGUUCGGAAUUACUGGGCGUAAAGGGCGCGUAGGCGGUCAGAUAAGUCAGCUGUGAAAACCUCGGGCUUAACCCGAGGCCUGCAGUUGAAACUGUUUGGCUGGAGUGUGGGAGAGGAGAGUGGAAUUCCCGGUGUAGCGGUGAAAUGCGUAGAUAUCGGGAGGAAUACCAGUGGCGAAGGCGGCGACCUGGGCCAAUACUGACGCUGAGGUGCGAAAGCGUGGGGAGCAAACAGG
RNAcentral lists this ribosomal RNA (253 nucleotides) under uncultured bacterium. RNAcentral's name for it is "partial 16S ribosomal RNA". It matches the Rfam family "Bacterial small subunit ribosomal RNA", at positions 524 to 776 of the family's 1533-position model. The record is from RNAcentral.